This is a non-coding RNA of Xylariaceae sp. AK1471, 105 nucleotides long. The record is from the annotation of a GenBank genome assembly. NCBI's taxonomy places the organism in Eukaryota, Fungi, Ascomycota, Sordariomycetes, Xylariales, Xylariaceae.
GUCCGUGUGAUGGAGUGGUCACCAUGUCGUUCUUAUAUCUCUUUCAUUCGUGCAAGAAAUAUGCUAGUUAUGCGAAAGUCGUGAGUUCGAACCUCACCAUGGACA